This is a long non-coding RNA of Oreochromis niloticus (Nile tilapia), 725 nucleotides long. RefSeq lists it as uncharacterized. Lineage: Eukaryota; Metazoa; Chordata; Actinopteri; Cichliformes; Cichlidae. The record is from RefSeq and is a predicted model, not a curated record. The transcript is spliced from 2 exons.
UCUUCUUUUAAGGGAUUUUAUUAACAAGCCUUUAUUUUCAACGUAAUACAAGGUUUUCCGAGCCAAGACUAUGGAGUUGACUGUGGGAUCUUCAUGCUAAUGGUAAUUUUUCUCUUCUCUUCCUUGAGAUUCAUACAAAAGCUAAUUGAAGCUUCUAAACAAUGACAUUUUUAUUUUUUCUUCCAAAUAGUCUGCUUUGUACGUGGCACUGGAUGCACCAUUUGACUAUUGUAAGUAUCUUAUUUACUUUCACAGCAAUGGAGUCUUGAAUCUUUUGAAAGUUGUUAAAUAUGUUUCAUAUUGAUAUUUUACAGUCAGACAUGCUCUACUUGCGUAAGUGGUUGUGCUUGCUGUUGAUGGAGAACUUUGAUCUCAGGAGGGGCGUUUGAUGGCUUACCGCACUGCAAUGGACCAAAAGAAUGACACAGGUUUGAUCUUAAGGAUCUAAUAGUUUGUGCAUGACACUGCAGUGCAAAUAUGUAUUUGCAAGAUAGACUGGAAUCAAUUAUGACACAUCAAAUAUUGCACAGUGUGAGAGAAAGAAAAGAGAAGACCUUGAGAGAUGAGGCCCCGUGGAAUGUGGCGAAACAUGAAACCACAGCUGAGGGUGAAGAGGUAAGCUCAGAACAGAGUGAAAGCAUAUUUAAGUCAUGAGCAGACAUUGUUUCACUAAGACAGAGAUUCCCAAAGUGUGGGGCCCGCCCCCUAGGUAUGGAACGCCAGGA